CACCAAGAACUGCUGAAGGAAACAACACAAAAACCUCUGAAGAAAUGGAAACAAAAAUGGAGAGGAUUUCUCGUUUGUCUUUAGCAAAAGACCACGAGGCGCUAACGCUAGGUUAGCAGGGAUUACAUUUUCAGAUUACAGCGUCAUAAUGACGGCUUUUUAUGCUGAUUUGCAUGGUGGGCGUAACUUCUCAUUAAUAUUACUAGUUCAAGAUGACAUUUCCUAACAGCUAAAAAUGUGAUUAAGAAAUAUUCUUGGAAGACGGCAGCUGAAAGAACCCAUCAAGAUAAGGGGUCCGAUCACUCAGCCCUGUGGUUCCCCACCUGAUUCUUGCUGAUCUCCCUUCUGUUCGUGUUUUGGAAACUUCUCUUGAAGGAUGACAUGCAGUUUGCUGAACAUGUCGUAAUGGUUGGAAGUGUGAAAAGUUUCUGCAGCUUCCAGUGAAAACGUCCAAUUCAAACAUUAUGAAAGAAUCUUUUGGAUAUUGUUUUCUUAAUUCCUGUUUACGAUCAUUUCAAUGAAUGAAUAAAAGGACUUCUGCUAAGUGAACUUUAAAAGCAGAAUAAAACGGGCUCUGAAUAAAAUGGGGAAGAGCCGUUUCAGCUGACCAAGUCGAACAUUUACACAAAACACAGGAACCUUCUCGAUGCACAUUUCACAGAAAAAUUUGCAGGAUUCUGUUUUGCAGUACGAGUUCUGGUGCAGAGGUUAUUGGGCAACUCUGAACGUUUCCCGUAGCGCUGACCGAGUGCAGCGUUUCUCAGUUUAUGAUCUACUGACUCACGGUCGCUUCUGACCCAGAUACUAACAGCAGUUAGUCAUUUUAUGAGGCUUUGCUGUUUUUUCCAACAUUUAAAAUUGGGGUUGCACAACUUUACUUCCCUUACUUGCUCACAUUCUCUCUGCUUCCUA
Molecule: long non-coding RNA, 912 nt
Organism: Poecilia latipinna (sailfin molly)
Lineage: Eukaryota; Metazoa; Chordata; Actinopteri; Cyprinodontiformes; Poeciliidae
Exons: 2
Source: RefSeq, a predicted model, not a curated record